GAUGAACGCUAGCGGCAGGCCUAACACAUGCAGGUCGAGGGGUAUAGUUCUUCGGAACUAGAGACCGGCGCACGGGUGCGUAACGCGUAUGCAAUCUACCUUUUACAGGGGAAUAGCCCAGAGAAAUUUGGAUUAAUGCCCCAUAGUGUUAUAGAAUCGCAUGGUUUUAUAACUAAAGUUCCAACGGUAAAAGAUGAGCAUGCGUCCCAUUAGUUAGUUGGUAAGGUAACGGCUUACCAAGACAAUGAUGGGUAGGGGUCCUGAGAGGGAGAUCCCCCACACUGGUACUGAGACACGGACCAGACUCCUACGGGAGGCAGCAGUAGAGGAAUAUUGGACAAUGGGCGCAAGCCGUGAUCCAGCCAUGCCGCGUGCAGGAAGACGGUCCUAUGGAUUGUAAACUGCUUUUGUACAGGAAGAAACACUCCCUCGUGAGGGAGCUUGACGGUACUGUAAGAAUAAGGAUCGGCUAACUCCGUG
RNAcentral lists this ribosomal RNA (480 nucleotides) under uncultured bacterium. RNAcentral describes it as "bacterial SSU rRNA". It matches the Rfam family "Bacterial small subunit ribosomal RNA", at positions 28 to 507 of the family's 1533-position model. The record is from RNAcentral.